RNAcentral lists this ribosomal RNA (630 nucleotides) under uncultured Selenomonas sp. RNAcentral's name for it is "bacterial SSU rRNA". It matches the Rfam family "Bacterial small subunit ribosomal RNA", at positions 68 to 675 of the family's 1533-position model. Lineage: Bacteria; Bacillati; Bacillota; Negativicutes; Selenomonadales; Selenomonadaceae. The record is from RNAcentral.
GAGGUUUUUAUUUCGGUAAAAAUCUGUAGUGGGGACGGGUGAGGAAGGCGUAUGCUACCUGCCUUUCCGAUGGGGACAGCAGGUCGAAGGGACUGCUAAUACCGAAUGAUGUAUAUCUUCCGCAUGGAGGACGUACCAAAGACGGCCUCUAUAUAUAAGCUGUCACGGAAAGAUGGGCCUGCGUCUGAUUAGCCAGUUGGCGGGGUAAUGGCCCACCAAAGCGACGGUCAGUAGCCGGUCUGAGAGGAUGAACGGCCGCGUUGGGACUGAGACACGGCCCAAACUCCUACGGGAGGCAGCAGUGGGGAAUCUUCCGCAAUGGACGAAAGUCUGACGGAGCAACGCCGCGUGAGUGAAGAAGGUUUUCGAAUCGUAAAGCUCUGUUGUCAGGGACGAGCAGGGGGAGUAUCAACAACACUCUCUCAUGACGGUACCUGACGAGGAAGCCACGGCUAACUACGUGCCAGCAGCCGCGGUAAUACGUAGGUGGCGAGCGUUGUCCGGAAUUAUUGGGCGUAAAGGGAGCGCAGGUGGGAAAGUAAGUCUGCUUUAAAAGUGCGGGGCUCAACCCCGUGAGGGAGUGGAAACUAUUUUUCUUGAGUGCAGGAGAGGAAAGCGGAAUUCCUAGUG